Molecule: long non-coding RNA, 698 nt
Organism: Populus nigra (black poplar)
Lineage: Eukaryota; Viridiplantae; Streptophyta; Magnoliopsida; Malpighiales; Salicaceae
Exons: 2
Source: RefSeq, a predicted model, not a curated record
UAUAUAUAUAUAUAUAUAUAUGCUUUCAGGGUGCAGCUGCAUGGAUGUCUCUUUCUUUCUUUUUUUCCUGGCAAGACAGGGUCGCAAGAGUGUGAUCAGAAGUGAAAGUUUUGAGUGUUUUCCUAGAAAUGAUCUCUCUGGGCUGGACUGCAUUUUCUGUGGAGGAAAGGUGGUGGAGCUGUGGUCCUACGUAUCUGUGCUCAAGUGCGGCGUAACGUUAGCCAGAAGACAUAGAAAUCUCGUCCGGUUAGGCAUUGUGGGCUUUCCACUACACAGAGUGAUGGAAUAUAAUUGAUAAAGAAGAAAAAGAUGGAAAAGCUAAGCCGAAAACCAUCAAGGCUGUCAGGAAUAUCUUGAUUUCUCAAGUGUUGGUCCUGUUGGAUAGCUACAUCGUGGAGAGCUUCUAUCCUUGUUUUGAUCGUCCACCGAGAAGGUUUUGCUCAUGGCGUUGCCUCCUGGUAUUCUCGGGCACCGUGUUCAUGGUGUCGAUAGAAAGCAGGCCUAACCGGAGCAUCCUUCAAUGCUAGGAAAGUGGGAAAAAGGCUAUCAUUUUGGGUAGUCUAAAGCUUACUUCAACACAACAGUCUCGAUCUUUAUCAUGUGUAGCAACAAGAGGGUAAACAAAUAGAAAGUUUCAUAGUAAUAUCUUCGUUAUAUAUCCAUCUAUAAAUAACAUAUUGAAUUUGUCCUGUCAGAAA